This 1530-nucleotide long non-coding RNA is filed under the name Numida meleagris (helmeted guineafowl). RNAcentral describes it as "lncRNA (ENSNMEG00000002451.1)". Lineage: Eukaryota; Metazoa; Chordata; Aves; Galliformes; Numididae. The record is from RNAcentral.
AUGGAGGGGGCCGCGCUCACCUGCCUGGGGGACGGCAACCCCCCCCCCACCUACAACUGGACACGGUGCGGCCCCGUCCCGUGUCCCCAUCCCUGUCCCCGUCCCGUGUCCCCAUCCCUGUCCCAUGUCCCCUUCCCACCGCGUCCCCUGUGCGCUCCGAUGGCCCCGCUGCGUCCCCUCCCCGUGUUCCUGCCGUGUCCUUUCUUUGUUCCUUCCGUUUCCCUUGUCCCUGUCCCCAUGUCCCCUUGUCUGUCCCUGUCCGUGUCCCCCUGUCCUGUCCCCUUGUCCCUAUCCCUGUCAUGUCCCCUUGUCUGUCCCCAUGUCCCCCUGUCCCUGUCAUGUCCCAUUGGUGUCCCCAUGUCCCGUUGCUGUCCCCAUGUCCCUGUCCUUAUCCAUGUCCCCCUUUCCCUGUCAUGUCCCCUUGUCUGUCCCCAUGUCACCUUGCUGUGUCCAUGUCCCUGUGUCCCUGUCCAUGUCCCCCUGUCCUGUCCCCUUGUCCCUAUCCCUGUCAUGUCCCCUUGUCUGUCUCCGUGUUCCCUUGUCCCCCGUCCCUGUCAUGUCCCUUUGGUGUCCCCAUGUCCCGUUGCUGUCCCCGUGUCCCUGUCCUUAUCCAUGUCCCCCUGUCCCUGUCAUGUCCCCUUGUCUGUCCCCCUUUCCCCAUCCCUAUCCAUGUCCCCUUGUCCCUGUCAUGUCCCUUUGUCUGUCCCCGUGUCACCUUGCUUUGUCCAUGUCCCUGUGUCCCUGUCCAUGUCCCCCUGUCAUGUCCCCUUGUCUGUCCCCAUGUCCCCCUGUCCAUGUCCCCCUGUCCCUGUCAUGUCCCCUUGUCUGUCCCCAUGUCCCCCUGCUGAGUCCAUGUCCCCGCGUCCCUGUCCAUGUCCCCCUGUCCUGUCCCCUUGUCCCCUUGUUCCUGUCAUGUCCCACUGGUGUCCCCAUGUCCCCUUAUCUGUGUCCAUGUCCCCUUGUCUGUCCCAGUGUCCCCCUGUCCAUGUCCCCUUGUCCCUGUCCCUGUCAUGUCCCCUUGUCUAUCCCUGUGUCCCCUUGCUGAGUCCAUGUCCCCAUGUCCCCAUCCAUGUCCCUUUGUCUGUGCCAGUGUCCCCCUGUCCAUGUCCCCCUGCCCCUGUCAUGUCCCACUGGUGUCCCCAUGUCUCCCUGCUGAGUCCAUGUCCCCAGGUCCCUGUCCAUGUCCCCCUGUCCUGUCCCCUUGUCCCCCUGUCCCUGUCCAAGUCCCCCUGUCCUGUCCCCAUGUCCCCCUGUCCCUGUCCAAGUCCCAUUGCUGUCCCCAUGUCCCCUUGUCUGUACCAUCAUCCCCCUGUCCAUGUCCCCCUGUCCCUGUCACGUCCCAUUGUCUGUCUCUAUGUCUCCUUGAGUCCAUGUCCCCACGUCCCUGUCCAUGUCCCCCUGUCCUGUCCCCUUGUCCCCCUGUCCCUAUGUCCCCUUGUCUGUCUCCAUGUCCCCUUGUCCCUGUCCAUGUNUGGGCAGUGGGGUCGUGAUGGGAAUGGGGUGGUGGGAUGGUGGGUGAUGGGGUUGUGA